GCAUAACGCGAAGAACCUUACCGGGGCUUGACAUCUUUCUGACCGCCUGGGAAACCAGGUCUUCUUCCUUCGGGAAGACGAAAAGACAGGUGGUGCAUGGUUGUCGUCAGCUCGUGUCGUGAGAUGUUGGGUUAAGUCCCACAACGAGCGCAACCCUUGUCCUUAUUUGCCAGCCUGUUUACAGGCGUACUUUAAGGAGACUGCCGUAGAUAAUACGGAGGAAGGUGGGGAUGACGUCAAAUCCUCAUGCCCCUUACGUCCCGGGCUACACACGUGCUACAAUGGUCUGUACAGAGGGUAGCCAAGAAGCAAUUCGGAGCCAAUCCCAAAAAGCAGGCCCCAGUUCGGAUUGGAGGCUGCAACUCGCCUCCAUGAAGUCGGAAUCGCUAGUAAUCGCGGAUCAGCACGCCGCGGUGAAUCCGUUCCCGGGUCUUGUACACACCG
Molecule: ribosomal RNA, 444 nt
Filed under: uncultured bacterium
Lineage: Bacteria
Description: bacterial SSU rRNA
Rfam family: Bacterial small subunit ribosomal RNA
Source: RNAcentral